AACAUUCUUAGUCUGUCCACGGAGUCCUCAGUAUGGUCUUCUUUGUUGCACCAGCUGUCCAAGCUGAACUUUGCAACCCUGCACAGUGAGAACUGAUAUCCAAGAUACACAACUGGUUCCAAAUGGACUUGUUUCAAGCACAAAGCAGGAAGCAAGACUUCAGGAUAGAACUCAGAGGCCAAAAAGUAUCUCUAACGUCUAAAGGUUGUAUCCUCAAAACCCUGAAAUCAAACUUUAUAAGCAACUUAAAGGACUUCCAGGGGUGAUUUUGACCCUACUUGUCCUUGACCUUGAGCACAGUCUUAGAAGCCCAAGCAGCCUGUGACUCCUCUGUGAAUUAAAUGGCCCUUCAGAGAGAAAGAAGGCCCACGGGAUGGAUGUCCCAAGAACUGAUCCAAGUCUGAUUGCUGCUAAG
Hyaena hyaena (striped hyena) is the source of this 415-nucleotide long non-coding RNA. RefSeq lists it as uncharacterized. Lineage: Eukaryota; Metazoa; Chordata; Mammalia; Carnivora; Hyaenidae. The record is from RefSeq and is a predicted model, not a curated record. The transcript is spliced from 3 exons.